GAUGAACGCUGGCGGCGUGCCUAAUACAUGCAAGUCGAGCGAACAGACGAGGAGCUUGCUCCUCUGACGUUAGCGGCGGACGGGUGAGUAACACGUGGAUAACCUACCUAUAAGACUGGGAUAACUUCGGGAAACCGGAGCUAAUACCGGAUAAUAUAUUGAACCGCAUGGUUCAAUAGUGAAAGACGGUUUUGCUGUCACUUAUAGAUGGAUCCGCGCCGCAUUAGCUAGUUGGUAAGGUAACGGCUUACCAAGGCGACGAUGCGUAGCCGACCUGAGAGGGUGAUCGGCCACACUGGAACUGAGACACGGUCCAGACUCCUACGGGAGGCAGCAGUAGGGAAUCUUCCGCAAUGGGCGAAAGCCUGACGGAGCAACGCCGCGUGAGUGAUGAAGGUCUUCGGAUCGUAAAACCCUGUUAUUAGGGAAGAACAAAUAUGUAAGUAACUAUGCACGUCUUGACGGUACCUAAUCAGAAAGCCACGGCUAACUACGUG
RNAcentral lists this ribosomal RNA (497 nucleotides) under uncultured bacterium. RNAcentral describes it as "partial 16S ribosomal RNA". It matches the Rfam family "Bacterial small subunit ribosomal RNA", at positions 28 to 507 of the family's 1533-position model. The record is from RNAcentral.